Molecule: non-coding RNA, 86 nt
Organism: Daucus carota subsp. sativus
Lineage: Eukaryota; Viridiplantae; Streptophyta; Magnoliopsida; Apiales; Apiaceae
Source: Rfam
GUUGAUGUGAUGAUCAAAGUCAUGCACCACUCUGAAUUAUCAGUGAGGAUAAACAUUUCAUUUACCCAUUUUUUGGAUCUGAGCCC